GAUGAACGCUGGCGGCGUGCCUAAUACAUGCAAGUCGAGCGAACGGACGAGAAGCUUGCUUCUCUGAUGUUAGCGGCGGACGGGUGAGUAACACGUGGAUAACCUACCUAUAAGACUGGGAUAACUUCGGGAAACCGGAGCUAAUACCGGAUAAUAUUCUGAGCCGCAUGGUUCAAAAGUGAAAGACGGUCUUGCUGUCACUUAUAGAUGGAUCCGCGCUGCAUUAGCUAGUAGGUAAGGUAACGGCUUACCAAGGCAACGAUGCAUAGCCGACCUGAAGGAGUGAUAGGCCACACAGGAGCGUGAACAGGGUCCAGACUCCUACGGGAGGCAGCAGUAGGGAAUCGUCCGCAGUGGGCGAAAGCCUGACGGAGCGACGCCGCGUGAGAGGUGAAGGUCUUCGGAGCGUAAAACUCUGUUAUUAGGUAAGAACAUAUGUGUAAGUAACUGUGCAGAGCUUGACGGUACCUAGUCAGAAAGCCACGGCUAACUACGUG
Molecule: ribosomal RNA, 497 nt
Filed under: uncultured bacterium
Lineage: Bacteria
Description: partial 16S ribosomal RNA
Rfam family: Bacterial small subunit ribosomal RNA
Source: RNAcentral